This 836-nucleotide ribosomal RNA is filed under the name Salmonella enterica. Its description in RNAcentral is "partial 23S ribosomal RNA". It matches the Rfam family "Bacterial large subunit ribosomal RNA", at positions 711 to 1459 of the family's 2925-position model. The record is from RNAcentral. Lineage: Bacteria; Pseudomonadati; Pseudomonadota; Gammaproteobacteria; Enterobacterales; Enterobacteriaceae. RNAcentral also lists the same sequence under 1 other name.
AGACCCGAAACCCGGUGAUCUAGCCAUGGGCAGGUUGAAGGUUGGGUAACACUAACUGGAGGACCGAACCGACUAAUGUUGAAAAAUUAGCGGAUGACCUGUGGCUGGGGGUGAAAGGCCAAUCAAACCGGGAGAUAGCUGGUUCUCCCCGAAAGCUAUUUAGGUAGCGCCUCGUGAAUUCAUCUCCGGGGGUAGAGCACUGUUUCGGCUAGGGGGCCAUCCCGGCUUACCAACCCGAUGCAAACUGCGAAUACCGGAGAAUGUUAUCACGGGAGACACACGGCGGGUGCUAACGUCCGUCGUGAAGAGGGAAACAACCCAGACCGCCAGCUAAGGUCCCAAAGUCAUGGUUAAGUGGGAAACGAUGUGGGAAGGCCCAGACAGCCAGGAUGUUGGCUUAGAAGCAGCCAUCAUUUAAAGAAAGCGUAAUAGCUCACUGGUCGAGUCGGCCUGCGCGGAAGAUGUAACGGGGCUAAACCAUGCACCGAAGCUGCGGCAGCGAACGUAUCACCCAAGACAACUUUACGGAGUUGACGAUUGACGGAGCGAAGCGACGUCAAAGCGUUCAUUAAAGUCGAGUUGGCUUAGGGAUACGUUCGUUGGGUAGGGGAGCGUUCUGUAAGCCUGUGAAGGUGUGUCGUGAGGCAUGCUGGAGGUAUCAGAAGUGCGAAUGCUGACAUAAGUAACGAUAAAGCGGGUGAAAAGCCCGCUCGCCGGAAGACCAAGGGUUCCUGUCCAACGUUAAUCGGGGCAGGGUGAGUCGACCCCUAAGGCGAGGCCGAAAGGCGUAGUCGAUGGGAAACGGGUUAAUAUUCCCGUACUUGGUGUUACUGCGA